Long non-coding RNA from Apodemus sylvaticus (European woodmouse), 182 nucleotides. RefSeq lists it as uncharacterized. The record is from RefSeq and is a predicted model, not a curated record. Lineage: Eukaryota; Metazoa; Chordata; Mammalia; Rodentia; Muridae. The transcript is spliced from 3 exons.
CUGAAAUCAAGACAUGGAUGCAGUGACUUUUGAUGAUGUGCAUGUGAACUUCACUUCAGAAGAGUGGAAUUUACUUGAUCCUUCCCAGAAGAAUCUGUAUAAACAUGUGAUGCUGGAGACCUACUGGAACCUCACAGUUAUAGGUUCUUAUUGGGAAGACCAUCAUAUUAAAGAACAAUGUC